AAAAUUAUCAGUAUUUUAAAUUCGCUCAUCUUUGUCAUCUAAAAAUAUACAAAAAGGAAAAAAAGAGGAUGAGGAGAUCAAACUGUCGCCGAUUCCCA
Molecule: long non-coding RNA, 98 nt
Organism: Acromyrmex echinatior (Panamanian leafcutter ant)
Lineage: Eukaryota; Metazoa; Arthropoda; Insecta; Hymenoptera; Formicidae
Source: RefSeq, a predicted model, not a curated record